Molecule: ribosomal RNA, 440 nt
Filed under: uncultured bacterium
Lineage: Bacteria
Description: partial 16S ribosomal RNA
Rfam family: Bacterial small subunit ribosomal RNA
Source: RNAcentral
CCUACGGGUGGCAGCAGUAGGGAAUAUUGCUCAAUGGGCGAAACCCUGAACCAGCAACGCCGCGUGAAGGAUGACGGUUCUACGGUUGUAAACUCCUUUUGUUAGAGGAGAUAAUGGCGGUAUCUAUCGAAUAUGCACAGUCUACCUCCGUUCCAGCAGCCGAGGCAAGACGGAGGGUGCCAGCGUUACUCGGAAUCACUGGGCGUAAAGGGGGCGUAGGCGGGAUAGCAAGUCAGAUGUGAAAUCCUAUGGCUUAACCAUAGAACUGCAUUUGAAACUGUUAUUCUAGAGUAUGGGAGAGGUAGGUGGAAUUCGUGGUGUAGGGGUAAAAUCCGUAGAGAUCAAGAGGAAUACUCAUUGCGAAGGCGACCUGCUAGAACAUAACUGACGCUGAUGCGCGAAAGCGUGGGGAGCAAACAGGAUUAGAUACCCUAGUAGUC